RNAcentral lists this long non-coding RNA (256 nucleotides) under Malus domestica (apple). RNAcentral describes it as "long non-coding RNA (MDOM_LNC002802)". Lineage: Eukaryota; Viridiplantae; Streptophyta; Magnoliopsida; Rosales; Rosaceae. The record is from RNAcentral.
GUGAAGCUUUUGAGAAUUAUGGUUGCCCUCCAUUGAUGAAGCUCUUGUUGGCACCAUAAAUUGGUUUUACUUCACACUGUCUUGAUUAAGAAUGUGUGAAGCUUUCUACGAGUUAUAGUGUUUGCAUUGUUACAGAGGGGAAAUGUUUAAAGCAGAUGCAAGAGAGCUGAAUAGCUUGAUCUUCGUAUGCCAUGCACUGAAGUUGCUAUUGGCUUGCAAUAAGACUUUGUUGGUGACUAUAACUCUUGUUGGGCAU